Molecule: long non-coding RNA, 434 nt
Organism: Paramisgurnus dabryanus
Lineage: Eukaryota; Metazoa; Chordata; Actinopteri; Cypriniformes; Cobitidae
Source: RefSeq, a predicted model, not a curated record
CACACAGCCAAACACAGCGGUAACCUGCAGGACUGUCCCAAUGUGACUUGGACGAUCCUGCACUGAUCCAUUAGCGGGGCCAUAGCCGAGCUGCAGCAGUUAAUACUACGCCCUGCACCUACAUCGACAGCUUUUACCCACUUGAGAGGCCCAGGGUCUAAUGCAGUAACAUGAUAGCCUUAUCGUCACCACUUACAGUAUGUAGAGAAAGCAGGAGGGAAGGAUCAAGAACGGAUCGCUGAUCUAGGUGGAAAUCAUGAAGCAGAUGUCCUUUUCCUACAUUUGUGUUGUAAAGCAGUGGUGGGUGGUGACCAAACAAUGGCUACUGGGGUUAUAGAGACAACAGGGAAGAAUGCUAGAAGCUAACCAUAAUGUACUUCUGAGUGUUUGGAUUUCAACAUGGACAGGAUGUGUAACUUCCCCCAUCCCCCCCC